This 406-nucleotide ribosomal RNA is filed under the name uncultured bacterium. Its description in RNAcentral is "partial 16S ribosomal RNA". It matches the Rfam family "Bacterial small subunit ribosomal RNA", at positions 30 to 526 of the family's 1533-position model. The record is from RNAcentral.
AUUGAACGCUGGCGGAAGGCCUAACACAUGCAAGUCGAACGAGUGGCGGACGGGUGAGUAAUGUCUGGGAAACUGCAUGAUGGAGGGGGAUAACUACUGGAAACGGUAGCUAAUACCGCAUAACAUCGGAGUUGCCCAGAUGGGAUUAGCUAGUAGGUGGGGUAAAUGCUAACCUAGGCGACGAUCCCUCGCUGUGCUGAGAGGAUGACCAGCCACACUGGAACUACGACACGGUCCCGACUCCUACGGGGGGCAGCAGUGGGGCAUAUUGCACAAUGGGCGCAAGCCUGAUGCAGCCAUGCCGCGUGUAUGAAGAAGGCCUUCGGGUUGUAAAGUACUUUCAGCGGGGAGGCGUUACCCGCAGAAGAAGCACCGGCUAACUCCGUGCCAGCAGCCGCGGUAAUUC